GACGAACGCUGGCGGUAUGCUUAACACAUGCAAGUCGAACGAGAAGGUUUUAGCGGAUCCUUCGGGUGACAUUAAAACUGGAAAGUGGCGAACGGGUGAGUAACGCGUGGGUAACCUGCCCUAUGGAAAGGAAUAGCCUCGGGAAACUGGGAGUAAAGCCUUAUAUUAUGGUUUUGCCGCAUGGCAAGAUCAUGAAAACUCCGGUGCCAUAGGAUGGACCCGCGUCCCAUUAGCUAGUUGGUGAGGUAACGGCUCACCAAGGCGACGAUCAGUAGCCGACCUGAGAGGGUGACCGGCCACAUUGGGACUGAGACACGGCCCAA
RNAcentral lists this ribosomal RNA (323 nucleotides) under uncultured bacterium. Its description in RNAcentral is "bacterial SSU rRNA". It matches the Rfam family "Bacterial small subunit ribosomal RNA", at positions 28 to 334 of the family's 1533-position model. The record is from RNAcentral.